This 660-nucleotide ribosomal RNA is filed under the name Triticum aestivum (bread wheat). RNAcentral describes it as "partial small subunit ribosomal RNA". Lineage: Eukaryota; Viridiplantae; Streptophyta; Magnoliopsida; Poales; Poaceae. The record is from RNAcentral.
AUGUCGUCGUCGUCGGGCAUGAAGUUGGGCGGCGCUCCGUCGUGGCUGGGGCCGCUGCUCUGCGCGAGGUUCUUCCAGCGCUGUGCCACGCACCCCAGACUAGCCAAGAAUGAUUGCAACCACUACUGCCUUAGCUGCGCCGGCGAGGAGAACGCCGUCUGCUGCCCCAUGUGCCUCUCCGGCCACCGCGACCACCAUGUCCUCCAGAUACGGCGGUCGUCAUACAAGAACAGCGUGGUGAUCCUGGUGGCGGAGCUGGAGGAGGUUGCGGUUGCGGACAUGUCCCUGGUGCAGCCAUACGUGGUCAACCACGAGAGGGUGAUGUACCUCCACCCGAGGCUGCAGGCGCCGCAGCACGCCAUCAUGUGCUUCAGCCCCGCCGGCGCAUGCCUGAUGUGCGGCCGGAAACUCGUCGACGAAAUCUUCCGCUUCUGCUCCCUCGGCUGCACGCUUGAAGGAAUGGUGUCUGAUCCCAACAUGACAUUCAUUCUUGAUCCGGAAUGCAAGUGGGAAUACUCAGACUCAGACUCAACCGAAGAAGAAGAAGAUGGCGGCCAUCUGCCAGGCCCUAGCAACUCUCAGCCAAUUGGAGGGACUAGUUACGGCCGCCAGCCAAGGAAGGGCGUCUGUGGCCCACCUCAAUGGGCGCCCUUCUACUGA